UACGGAGGGUGCAAGCGUUAAUCGGAAUUACUGGGCGUAAAGCGCACGCAGGCGGUCUGUUAAGUCAGAUGUGAAAUCCCCGGGCUUAACCUGGGAACUGCAUUUGAAACUGGCAGGCUUGAGUCUUGUAGAGGGGGGUAGAAUUCCAGGUGUAGCGGUGAAAUGCGUAGAGAUCUGGAGGAAUACCGGUGGCGAAGGCGGCCCCCUGGACAAAGACUGACGCUCAGGUGCGAAAGCGUGGGGAGCAAAC
This 250-nucleotide ribosomal RNA is filed under the name uncultured bacterium. Its description in RNAcentral is "partial 16S ribosomal RNA". It matches the Rfam family "Bacterial small subunit ribosomal RNA", at positions 524 to 773 of the family's 1533-position model. RNAcentral also lists the same sequence under 1 other name. The record is from RNAcentral.